RNAcentral lists this long non-coding RNA (496 nucleotides) under Phoenix dactylifera (date palm). Its description in RNAcentral is "long non-coding RNA (PDAC_LNC002915)". Lineage: Eukaryota; Viridiplantae; Streptophyta; Magnoliopsida; Arecales; Arecaceae. The record is from RNAcentral.
CCCUUUUGACUCCUUUCGAAGCUGUUCAAAGAGAGAGCAAGCCCACCGCCACACAAGUUUUCUCCCUCUCUUUAUCCGCAUGCAUGAUCCAUGUAGUGGGACCCAUGUGUAAAUAAAGACUAGUAUCAGAUAAUUAACAACAUAUGUAGAAUAAAUUUAUAUUUUUCUUCUAGAUAACUGUAAAAGAUGUUCUAUCCAAUUGUUGUUUUACUCUAGUGCUUGAAAAAAGUUAUUUGAUUGAAUAAAGCUGAGAAAAGAGGGUGAGAAAUGGUAGAGUUGGCAGGUCUCUUGUGCUGAUAUAAAAGAUAUAGAGUCAAUUCUAUUUUAUCUUGGUCUUCAACCAAGCUCCUAUCCAUUCUAAUUACAGAAAUAAACAGAUAAUAAAUAAAUUUCAUUCCAAUUUAGCCAGCUUUGUUCACAAACCAAAUAUCCAUAGACACAAAUUUUCCUCUUUUGUUAUUAGCAUGCACAAGCCAUACAGAAUGAGACCCACGUU